RNAcentral lists this transfer RNA (23 nucleotides) under Acanthopoma annectens. RNAcentral's name for it is "partial tRNA-Leu". Lineage: Eukaryota; Metazoa; Chordata; Actinopteri; Siluriformes; Trichomycteridae. RNAcentral also lists the same sequence under 16 other names. The record is from RNAcentral.
GCUUCUAAAGGAUAACAGCUCAU